RNAcentral lists this ribosomal RNA (408 nucleotides) under uncultured Bacteroidota bacterium. RNAcentral's name for it is "bacterial SSU rRNA". It matches the Rfam family "Bacterial small subunit ribosomal RNA", at positions 506 to 916 of the family's 1533-position model. Lineage: Bacteria; Pseudomonadati; Bacteroidota. The record is from RNAcentral.
UGCCAGCCGCCGCGGUAAUACGGAGGGUGCAAGCGUUAUCCGGAUUUAUUAGGUUUAAAGGGUCCGCAGGCGGGGAAAUAAGUCAGUGGUGAAAUACUGCAGCUUAACUGUAGCAAUGCCAUUGAUACUGUAUCUCUUGAGUUCAGAAGAAGUAGGCGGAAUAUGUAAUGUAGCGGUGAAAUGCUUAGAUAUUACAUAGAACACCGAUUGCGAAGGCAGCUUACUAUACUGUAACUGACGCUCAGGGACGAAAGCGUGGGGAGCGAACAGGAUUAGAUACCCUGGUAGUCCACGCCGUAAACGAUGAUUACUAGUUGUUGGCGAUAUACCGUCAGUGACUGAGCGAAAGCGUUAAGUAAUCCACCUGGGGAGUACGACCGCAAGGUUGAAACUCAAAGGAAUUGGCGG